Molecule: ribosomal RNA, 254 nt
Filed under: uncultured bacterium
Lineage: Bacteria
Description: partial 16S ribosomal RNA
Rfam family: Bacterial small subunit ribosomal RNA
Source: RNAcentral
UACGUAGGGGGCGAGCGUUGUCCGGAUUUAUUGGGCGUAAAGAGCUCGUAGGUGGUUUGGUAAGUCGGAUGUGAAAUCUCCAGGCUCAACCUGGAGGGGUCAUUCGAUACUGCCAUGACUAGAGCUCGGUAGGGGAGUGUGGAAUUCCUGGUGGAGCGGUGAAAUGCGCAGAUAUCAGGAGGAACACCCGUAGCGAAGGCGGCACUCUGGGCCGAUACUGACACUGAGGAGCGAAAGCGUGGGGAGCGAACAGG